GCUUCGUGGUGUAGUGGUCAGCAUACUCGACUCGUAACAGAGAGGUUUGUGGUUCGAUUCCCGACGAAGGCG
Molecule: transfer RNA, 72 nt
Filed under: Stegodyphus mimosarum
Lineage: Eukaryota; Metazoa; Arthropoda; Arachnida; Araneae; Eresidae
Rfam family: tRNA
About the family: Transfer RNA (tRNA) molecules are approximately 80 nucleotides in length. Their secondary structure includes four short double-helical elements and three loops (D, anti-codon, and T loops).
Source: Rfam by way of RNAcentral